Molecule: ribosomal RNA, 738 nt
Filed under: uncultured bacterium
Lineage: Bacteria
Description: bacterial SSU rRNA
Rfam family: Bacterial small subunit ribosomal RNA
Source: RNAcentral
AAGGGUUUGAUCCUGGCUCAGAUUGAACGCUGGCGGCAGGCCUAACACAUGCAAGUCGAGCGGAUGAAGGGAGCUUGCUCCUGGAUUCAGCGGCGGACGGGUGAGUAAUGCCUAGGAAUCUGCCUGGUAGUGGGGGAUAACGUCCGGAAACGGGCGCUAAUACCGCAUACGUCCUGAGGGAGAAAGUGGGGGAUCUUCGGACCUCACGCUAUCAGAUGAGCCUAGGUCGGAUUAGCUAGUUGGUGGGGUAAAGGCCUACCAAGGCGACGAUCCGUAACUGGUCUGAGAGGAUGAUCAGUCACACUGGAACUGAGACACGGUCCAGACUCCUACGGGAGGCAGCAGUGGGGAAUAUUGGACAAUGGGCGAAAGCCUGAUCCAGCCAUGCCGCGUGUGUGAAGAAGGUCUUCGGAUUGUAAAGCACUUUAAGUUGGGAGGAAGGGCAGUAAGUUAAUACCUUGCUGUUUUGACGUUACCAACAGAAUAAGCACCGGCUAACUUCGUGCCAGCAGCCGCGGUAAUACGAAGGGUGCAAGCGUUAAUCGGAAUUACUGGGCGUAAAGCGCGCGUAGGUGGUUCAGCAAGUUGGAUGUGAAAUCCCCGGGCUCAACCUGGGAACUGCAUCCCAAAACUACUGAGCUAGAGUACGGUAGAGGGUGGUGGAAUUUCCUGUGUAGCGGUGAAAUGCGUAGAUAUAGGAAGGAACACCAGUGGCGAAGGCAACCACCUGGACUGAUA